This 433-nucleotide ribosomal RNA is filed under the name uncultured bacterium. RNAcentral describes it as "partial 16S ribosomal RNA". It matches the Rfam family "Bacterial small subunit ribosomal RNA", at positions 29 to 507 of the family's 1533-position model. The record is from RNAcentral.
AGCGAACGCUGGCGGCAGGCUUAACACAUGCAAGUCGAGCGGGCACUUCGGUGUCAGCGGCAGACGGGUGAGUAACACGUGGGAACGUACCCUUUGGUUCGGAAUAACGCUGGGAAACUAGCGCUAAUACCGGAUACGCCCUUUUGGGGAAAGGCUUGCUGCCGAAGGAUCGGCCCGCGUCUGAUUAGCUAGUUGGUGGGGUAAUGGCCUACCAAGGCGACGAUCAGUAGCUGGUCUGAGAGGAUGAUCAGCCACACUGGGACUGAGACACGGCCCAGACUCCUACAGGAGGCAGCAGUGGGGAAUAUUGGACAAUGGGCGCAAGCCUGAUCCAGCCACGCCGCGUGAGUGAUGAAGGCCUUAGGGUUGUAAAGCUCUUUUGUCCGGGACGAUAAUGACGGUACCGGAAGAAUAAGCCCCGGCUAACUUCGUG